CCUCCUAUAAGACCGUACCCUAAACCGACACAGGUGGACUGGUAGAGCAUACCAAGGCGCUUGAGAGAACGAUGUUGAAGGAACUCGGCAAAAUACCUCCGUAAGUUCGCGAGAAGGAGGCCCGGUUCCUAGGCAACUAGGGGCUGGGGGCACAAACCAGGGGGUGGCGACUGUUUAUUAAAAACACAGGGCUCUGCGAAGUCGCAAGACGACGUAUAGGGUCUGACGCCUGCCCGGUGCCUGAAGGUUAAAAGGAGAGGUGAGAGCCUUGAAUUGAAGCCCAGGUAAACGGCGGCCGUAACUAUAACGGUCCUAAGGUAGCGAAAUUCCUUGUCGGGUAAGUUCCGACCUGCACGAAUGGCGUAACGACUUCCCCGCUGUCUCCAACAUCGACUCAGCGAAAUUGAAUUGCCUGUCAAGAUGCAGGCUUCCCGCGGUUAGACGGAAAGACCCCGUGCACCUUUACUACAGCUUCGCACUGGCAUCAGGAUUGUGAUGUGCAGGAUAGGUGGUGGGCUUUGAAGCAGGAACGCAAGUACCUGUGGAGCCUCCCUUGAGAUACCACCCUUCGCACUCUUGAUGUCUAACCGCGGUCCGUUAUCCGGAUCCGGGACCCUGCGUGGCGGGUAGUUUGACUGGGGCGGUCGCCUCCUAAAGCGUAACGGAGGCGCGCGAAGGUUGGCUCAGAGCGGUCGGAAAUCGCUCGUUGAGUGCAAUGGCAGAAGCCAGCCUGACUGCGAGACUGACAAGUCGAGCAGAGUCGAAAGACGGCCAUAGUGAUCCGGUGGUCCCGAGUGGAAGGGCCAUCGCUCAACGGAUAAAAGGUACGCCGGGGAUAACAGGCUGAUACUGCCCAAGAGUCCAUAUCGACGGCAGUGUUUGGCACCUCGAUGUCGGCUCAUCUCAUCCUGGGGCUGGAGCAGGUCCCAAGGGUACGGCUGUUCGCCGUUUAAAGAGGUACGUGAGCUGGGUUUAGAACGUCGUGAGACAGUUCGGUCCCUAUCUGCCGUGGGUGUAGGAGACUUGAGAGGAGUUGCCCCUAGUACGAGAGGACCGGGGUGAACGAUCCACUGGUGGACCAGUUGUCGUGCCAACGGCAGUGCUGGGUAGCUAUGAUCGGACAGGAUAACCGCUGAAGGCAUCUAAGCGGGAAGCCCCCCUCAAAACAAGGUCUCCCUGAGGGCCGUGGAAGACCACCACGUCAAUAGGCCGGAGAUGUAAGCGCAGUAAUGCGUUCAGUUGACCGGUACUAAUCGCCCGAUAGGCUUGAU
RNAcentral lists this ribosomal RNA (1271 nucleotides) under Ruegeria denitrificans. Its description in RNAcentral is "bacterial LSU rRNA". It matches the Rfam family "Bacterial large subunit ribosomal RNA", at positions 1630 to 2925 of the family's 2925-position model. The record is from RNAcentral. Lineage: Bacteria; Pseudomonadati; Pseudomonadota; Alphaproteobacteria; Rhodobacterales; Roseobacteraceae.